AGGAAGAAAUUUGGGCUUGACUGAAGUAAUGGGGGCUGUCUGUGGAGCUUUGGGGCAGUACAGCCCAGGUAAUUUGCUGAGCCUGAUGGGUGUCAGGGUCAGUCCAAGUGAAAGCGAAGAGAGGCUGGGAUGAUGGGUGCAAAGGAAUAGUAAAGCAUGUUUGAGAUCCAGAACAGAAUAAUGGAUUGUGGAGGGAGCCUCUGUAUUGAUUAAGAAGGGGACGGACUUACCCUCCACUGUGAGAGUUACCUGAAGCUCGGAGUUCGUGAUGGUCUACGGGGCUUCCAAGGCGAUCGGGCAGCGUCAGUCUUCAGCCACUAAGCUGAGAAGGAGUCAGUGAGAGAGGCUUGGGCCAGAGUUCCAGGGGCUCUGGGAGUGGCUGCCAGGUGAGUUGAACAGUCCGAUUUCCAGUGGCAUCCCGCGAGGUUCUGGAGGAACGCCUGGCCCCUGCGGUUCAGGCAUUUGGAAGUUCUUAUGUGCUGGAGAUGU
This 489-nucleotide long non-coding RNA is filed under the name Homo sapiens (human). RNAcentral's name for it is "non-protein coding lnc-GABRG2-2:1". Lineage: Eukaryota; Metazoa; Chordata; Mammalia; Primates; Hominidae. The record is from RNAcentral.